UGGGGAAUUUUGGACAAUGGGGGAAACCCUGAUCCAGCGAUGCCGCGUGAGUGAUGAAGGCCUUCGGGUUGUAAAACUCUUUCGGACGGGGCGAAAUCUUUAUGGUGAAUAGCCAUGGAGGAUGACAGUACUGUAAGAAGAAGCACCGGCUAACUACGUGCCAGCAGCCGCGGUAAUACGUAGGGUGCAAGCGUUAAUCGGAAUUACUGGGCGUAAAGCGUCCGCAGGUGGUUUAGUAAGUCUGAUGUGAAAUCCCCGAGCUUAACUUGGGAAUUGCAUUGGAAACUAUUAAACUAGAGUGUGACAGAGGGGGUAGAAUUCCGCAUGUAGCAGUGAAAUGCGUAGAGAUG
Molecule: ribosomal RNA, 350 nt
Filed under: uncultured bacterium
Lineage: Bacteria
Description: bacterial SSU rRNA
Rfam family: Bacterial small subunit ribosomal RNA
Source: RNAcentral